This 1112-nucleotide ribosomal RNA is filed under the name Acinetobacter sp. CW8. Its description in RNAcentral is "bacterial SSU rRNA". It matches the Rfam family "Bacterial small subunit ribosomal RNA", at positions 37 to 1153 of the family's 1533-position model. The record is from RNAcentral. Lineage: Bacteria; Pseudomonadati; Pseudomonadota; Gammaproteobacteria; Moraxellales; Moraxellaceae.
UGGCAGGGCGGCGGCUACCAUGCAGUCGAGCGGAGAUGAGGUGCUUGCACCUUAUCUUAGCGGCGGACGGGUGAGUAAUGCUUAGGAAUCUGCCUAUUAGUGGGGGACAACAUUCCGAAAGGAAUGCUAAUACCGCAUACGUCCUACGGGAGAAAGCAGGGGAUCUUCGGACCUUGCGCUAAUAGAUGAGCCUAAGUCGGAUUAGCUAGUUGGUGGGGUAAAGGCCUACCAAGGCGACGAUCUGUAGCGGGUCUGAGAGGAUGAUCCGCCACACUGGGACUGAGACACGGCCCAGACUCCUACGGGAGGCAGCAGUGGGGAAUAUUGGACAAUGGGGGGAACCCUGAUCCAGCCAUGCCGCGUGUGUGAAGAAGGCCUUAUGGUUGUAAAGCACUUUAAGCGAGGAGGAGGCUACUGAGACUAAUACUCUUGGAUAGUGGACGUUACUCGCAGAAUAAGCACCGGCUAACUCUGUGCCAGCAGCCGCGGUAAUACAGAGGGUGCGAGCGUUAAUCGGAUUUACUGGGCGUAAAGCGUGCGUAGGCGGCUUUUUAAGUCGGAUGUGAAAUCCCCGAGCUUAACUUGGGAAUUGCAUUCGAUACUGGGAAGCUAGAGUAUGGGAGAGGAUGGUAGAAUUCCAGGUGUAGCGGUGAAAUGCGUAGAGAUCUGGAGGAAUACCGAUGGCGAAGGCAGCCAUCUGGCCUAAUACUGACGCUGAGGUACGAAAGCAUGGGGAGCAAACAGGAUUAGAUACCCUGGUAGUCCAUGCCGUAAACGAUGUCUACUAGCCGUUGGGGCCUUUGAGGCUUUAGUGGCGCAGCUAACGCGAUAAGUAGACCGGCCUGGGGAGUACGGGUCGCAAGACUAAAACUCAAAAUGAAUUGACGGGGGCCCGCACAAGCGGUGGGAGCAUGUGUUAAUUCGAUGCACGCGAAGAACCUUUACCUUGGCUUUGACAUACUAGAAACUUCAGGAGAUGAUGGUGCUUUCGGGAUCUAGGAUACAGUGCUGCAUGGCUGUCGUCCAGCUCCAGUCCUGGGAAUGUCGGUAGUCCGCAACAGAGCCAACCUCUUGCCUUACCUGCCAGAUCGGAUUGACCUUAGAUAUCUUGC